UCCAAGACUGAAAAUUCACUCCACUAAGGAAAACUGAAAAACCCCUUUCCCGUUGUUUAUUCUUUUUUUCUUUUUGCAAUGUUUCAUCCCCGCCCACAAAAUGAUCCUCACACAUUCCCUGAGACUCUCACCAUGCAGCUGCAGACGUCCACCAAGCGAUGUUCACGAAAUCUGCAAUAGUCGGCUGUAGAAACAGAUGGAAGAGAAUGAUGUUUGAUGGUCUUCCCUCCCACUGUGAUCUCCACCGCUGUGCUGACCAGAAUUCCUAUGGUGUCGUUCUCUGGGUUCAGCAGCUCGUCCCUGGCUUUAAGAGGGAAACAAAUAACAGAAAUAAGCCAGAAGGGGGGUUGGAAACAAACAGAGAGACAGAACACAUUACGAGGCCCAGUGUGAGAUAAACAACCCGCAUCAUUCACCUGUUCGAUAAGGCGCUCGAAAGAUGUAGCCCUUGUUGUCGAGGCUGCGGCGGUAAUAGCUGGCAUUAAACGGCUCAGGAUCUUCCUCCCAGCUUUCUGAAGCCCUGAGAUUUAAGAACAGAGA
Molecule: long non-coding RNA, 540 nt
Organism: Labrus mixtus (cuckoo wrasse)
Lineage: Eukaryota; Metazoa; Chordata; Actinopteri; Labriformes; Labridae
Exons: 3
Source: RefSeq, a predicted model, not a curated record